This 68-nucleotide transfer RNA is filed under the name Leptophryne borbonica (Java tree toad). Its description in RNAcentral is "tRNA-Glu". It matches the Rfam family "tRNA". From Rfam's summary of the family: Transfer RNA (tRNA) molecules are approximately 80 nucleotides in length. Lineage: Eukaryota; Metazoa; Chordata; Amphibia; Anura; Bufonidae. The record is from RNAcentral.
GUUCUUAUAGUUGAAUACAACAGCAGUUUUUCAGGCUGCGGGUCCAGGUUUAAGUCUUGGUAGGAAUU